GAUCAUGAAUAUUUUUUUCUAAGAUACGUGUGGGAGAGCAGCUCUGGAAGAGUUAAAGGUCUUAGUAGCUCUGUCACUGUCUUCCCCAAACAAGGCUGAAGCUGUGCUGCAUAUUCUUACCUAGCCUAGGAAGUCAUAAAACAUCACUCUGCUUCAUUCUGUUGGAUACUGAUGAGUCAAAACUUGCCAUUUUCAAAGGAAAAGAAUGCAGACACCUCUUAAAAGAGCAGGUAGUUAGAAUGCAACACUGGAAGAAUGUGAGUUUGAGACUAGAAAGAAAAAUUGAGGUAGCAUUCAUAUGGCAACUUCAUAUGACUUGAUGAUGUGAGAUUCAACUGUUCUCCUUAGUGUGUUCUCUCUGCAAUUCCAGACCCCAUGAAAUAAAUCUCUGAAGCUUGCUUGUCUCCCAAACACUGUGUAAACCCACUGAAAACUUAAGUAAUGGAGUAAACAGCUUUCUGUGGCUUCC
Long non-coding RNA from Homo sapiens (human), 469 nucleotides. The record is from Ensembl. NCBI's taxonomy places the organism in Eukaryota, Metazoa, Chordata, Mammalia, Primates, Hominidae.